This 245-nucleotide long non-coding RNA is filed under the name Elaeis guineensis (African oil palm). RNAcentral's name for it is "long non-coding RNA (EGUI_LNC003241)". Lineage: Eukaryota; Viridiplantae; Streptophyta; Magnoliopsida; Arecales; Arecaceae. The record is from RNAcentral.
GUUCUCAAUCAAUUAUUUCUCUAAAUAAUAUUUAAUAUUUAAUUUAGCUCCAGAUUUUAUUUCAGUAGGCGAUGGGCAUCCACUAAAAGUUUCGGUUAAGUCAAACCACUAACAUGAACCUACUCAGUGAUUCUAACCAAUGAGUGAUUAGAUCCGAGGAUGGCUCGAUCAACCCAAUGAUCAUCAGAUAGUUUAACAGAGUCAUCAUAUGAUAAAUACUAAUUCCAUCAUUCAGAAUAAACAUC